Mesocricetus auratus (golden hamster) is the source of this 1620-nucleotide long non-coding RNA. RefSeq lists it as uncharacterized. The record is from RefSeq and is a predicted model, not a curated record. NCBI's taxonomy places the organism in Eukaryota, Metazoa, Chordata, Mammalia, Rodentia, Cricetidae. The transcript has 2 exons.
GGAGCAUUCUGGGAAAUGUAGUGAGGAGAAUCGUCACCAUGCAAUCCCAGGGAAGAAAGGACAGGUCAGGAGGGUGUCCUCGGAAAGCAGCUCCCAUUUGAACUUCAGGUUCCAACUGAGCCCUCAGUUGCCGUCUGAUGACCUCUGGACACUUGAACAUUUGUUAGUAUUUUGCUCUGAGCUUCUUGGUGGGUUGCUCUAUAAAAAGCAUCUGCCAUUAUUUCUCUUCUGUGUGGGCUCCCCCUUCAGUUUAUUCCAUUCAUUUUGUUCACAAUCUCUCAACACAAAAAAGCUCAAUGGAGGCCAUGGGCUGACAUCCAGUCCUCUCCAAUCCGACUAAAGGAACACCUACAGAACCGGUCUUACAUCACCGAGGGCUUCUGGGCAUUGAGCGGAAGACAGCCACUGUGACCCAGCGCCUCAGAAAACGACCCCGGUUGCUUUCAUUGUCUCAGCAGAUCCAGGAAGGCAGGUUCAGCUAUGAAAUCCAUUUCAACAGAGCGGAGAAGCCUUGUUAACUUGAACAGCACCUGUGCGCCAGUGUUGUGUCAGCUCCGCUUUUCAGAGAACGUGUAGGUAGGCAAUGACUUCAUUGCAGAUUAACGGCCAGAGAACCGUCCAUUGUGAACAGCUGCCAGGGAAUUCUGGGGGCCUCACCCCUCACACUGGCAUGCGUCCUCCGUCAGCCCAUUUGGCACAGACCACCACCAUGCCCAUUAGAUAGGAGCACUGUUUCCUGGAAGCAAAAGGGCAAAUUCCUUUCAGCAUUCCUUGUGGUUUGAGGAAUGGCUCCUCCAAAGGAAGGAACUGAAGUCACCUGACCAGCUCACUCCACCCAGAGUCCCUGACACUGACAUAUUGUGGGAACAUGUAAACUGAGGAAGCUGGGUGCUGCCUCGAAGCAUGCUGUAAACACCACACUGUGGACUCCUGCCCAAAGAGCUAGUGCCCUGAGUUGCUGAGGCAUGCGUACGCAUGUGUAUUGUUUUAAUUACUGAUCUUUUGAGACAGGGUCUUACUGUGUAACCUAGGCUGGCCUUGAACUCACAACCUUCCUGCUUCAGCCUCCUUAGGCAAGAGAUUUCAGGCCUACAACAUCUGGCCUGGCUUGGGUCCUCUUAGUACAGAGCUUGCUUGACUUGGAACAGCUCAGGUAAUUACACGAUGAAUAUAAACACAAGCCUACCAAGAAAGAAGGAGGAAAGUGAGGAAGAGAGGGAGGGAGGAAGGAAGGGAGGAAGUGGUAUAACGCUAUAGGCGUCCAACAGGUCAAGCCAUCCGGGUAUUUCUAGCCUAACCUGUGAGUCCUGUUUCUUCUCUCUGCAUAAUAGUUUGGAAGGAAGGCUCUGAUUAUCCCUGAACCAGGACCCUGAUUUUCAAAUCCUCUACAACAGUGUCCUACUCUCGCCAAACAAAACACUGUCAGCCUUAAAUGGCUUAGAAUGAAUCCCCCAGCUGCAGCUGUGGCGUUCAGUUGGUGGUGUUCCUUGCUAAGGCUUGGGAAAUUCCAUUCAAAGUCCCCAGAUUCUUUUAGCUUCCCUUGGCAUGCACAGCUUGUAGGAUUUAAUGUAGCCUAAUAGUUUUAUUUUUAAAAAAACUAUUAAAAAACUACAAGAUGUC